GCGGGAGUAGCUCAAUUGGCUAGAGCAUCGGCCUUCCAAGCCGAAGGUUACGGGUUCGAGCCCCGUUUCCCGCC
Molecule: transfer RNA, 74 nt
Filed under: Candidatus Electryonea clarkiae
Lineage: Bacteria; Pseudomonadati; Candidatus Electryoneota; Candidatus Electryoneia; Candidatus Electryoneales; Candidatus Electryoneaceae
Description: tRNA-Gly
Rfam family: tRNA
About the family: Transfer RNA (tRNA) molecules are approximately 80 nucleotides in length. Their secondary structure includes four short double-helical elements and three loops (D, anti-codon, and T loops).
Source: RNAcentral